CAGGCUGAUCUGGCUGGGAAAAAAAUGUGCUUGCCAUCUUAUACUUGUUACAUGACUGUUACAUAUUGACUUUUUAAAAUCUUUAUUUUAUUGUAUAUAUUUGAGGCAUGCAAGUAUGAUAUUUUGACAUAUAUAGUGAAAUAAUUACUACAGUCAAGCAAAUUAAGUAUCUGUUGUCUCUAAUAGUUAUCUUUUUUGUCUGUGUGGUUAAAGAACCUAAAAUCUACUCUUAGUACAUUUUAAGGAUACAAUAUUAUUAACUAUAGUCUUCAUGCUGUACACAUUGACUAUUUUAUAUAAAACAUGAAAUGCUGAAAACUGAGCUGUGUGAUUAUUUUACUUUAUACAGAAGUUGCUAAUAACGGUAUGACUAGUAAAGAGUUACAGAAACUAACUUUGUGUCUUAUUUCAAUGAAGGACUAUUGGAAGUGUACUUCAUGCAAUGAAAUGAAUCCUCCCCUUCCACCACAUUGCAACAGAUGUUGGGCGCUUCGUGAGAAUUGGCUUCCUGAAGAUAAAGGGAAAAAUAGAGGGGUUAUCUCGGAAAAAGCCAAACUAGAAAACUCAACACAAGCAGAAGAGGGCUUUGAUGUUCCAGAUUGUAAAAAAACUACAGUGAAUGAUUCCAAAGAGUCAUGUCUUGAGGAAAAUGAUGAUAAAAUCACACAAACCUCCCAGUCACAAGAAAGUGAGGACUAUUCUCAGCCAUCAACUUCUAAUAGUAUUAUUUAUAGUAGCCAAGAAGACGUCAAAGAGUUUGAGAGGGAAGAAACACAAGACAAAGAAGAAAAUAUGGAAUCUAGCUUUCCUCUUAAUGCCAUUGAACCUUGCGUGAUCUGCCAAGGUCGACCUAAAAAUGGUUGCAUUGUCCAUGGCAAAACAGGACAUCUUAUGGCAUGUUUUACAUGUGCAAAGAAGCUAAAGAAAAGGAAUAAGCCCUGCCCAGUAUGUAGACAACCAAUUCAAAUGAUUGUGCUAACUUAUUUCCCCUAGUUGAUCUGUCCAUGAAAGAGUUACUAUAUAACCCUAAAAGUUUAGACAGCAUGAAACAUUUUUAUUUACAUAUAUCAAAGUGAGAAAAUAUCUCAGUCCAUGAAGAUUUCUUCUCUUUACUGUAAUUUACCUACUUUGGGAGGAGAAUAGUGACUAUUUAUUUGCUUUUAGGAAAAUUUCACUUCUGUUUAUAUUUGGCUUUUAAUGUAAUUUGAAUUGGAUAUAUAGCUCCAUCCCUUACUCAUCCCCCUCAUUUUAAAUAAUUUCUACUUUCUCUUAGAAGUAUCUGAUUUUUAAAAUUAAUAUAUAUGUGUGUAGGACAUCUAAAUGUAACUUAUUCAGUAUCUUUCAUGUAAGGAGAAAAUGUUUUGACAGGUGUUAAUAUUUAAAUUUUUUGAUACUCUUAAAUCUUUUGAUUUUCGUUUUUCUCUUCUGAGCGGCAUGAAUAUACUCUAGGUAAAAAAGUUAACAGUUGUAUUUGGUGCUAUGUAAGUAAAAAUGUACUCCUUAUUCUCUAGUCUCUGGUUAUACUGUAGAAGGGAUAGGUGGUGAUGAUGUUAGUGAGAAUUGCCUCAUAAGACAAAACUUUUUUAAGGCUCCCUAGUAAAAUGGGGAAUUGUCUUGGGAGUCUAACCUAGUAUACCAGUCCCUUUGUCACAAAGGAUCCUUUUCAGGAUUUAGUGGAAUCUGUUGCCCCUAUGUUGAAAAACAGCUCUAAGAUGCUUUGAAGGACCUUCUUGGGCUCGGUUAUGUGGUUCUUGGUAGUUGCCUAGGUUUCGGACCUUUUCUUAAGGCCAGUUUUAGAAACUUGUGAAUUCAGAAAUUUGAUAAACAGAAUUGCUCAUUUUAAAACUAGCUGAAAAGGUUGGUUAUAAGUUCUUUCUGAAUUAUACAGAAAUUAGGUAUCACUUUCCUUCAAGAAAGACAGGGUCAGAACAUAGGAUUCUAAAAUAUCUGUUGGCUUCCUGUCAAGCUUGGCGUUGGUCGGUAAGGACCAUGCAUAUUAAGAAGUGUUAGUUCCCUUUGGGGCCCAUCUUCCCUGGCCAUGGCAUGAUGUUUGUCUGUACCUGUUGCAAGCUGUUCAGAUUCUGUAAGUCCAUAUGUCAUAAAAACUUUAAAAAGUGCAAUUCUCACAAGGUCAGGUAGACUAAAAAGCAUUCUGUAAAAGCAGCUAGUGUAAAGACCUAAUUCAUUUGAUUUUGAACAACAGAAAUGAGUCUAUCAAAUGCCAACGAGAGCUAUAGAAUAAAACUGAUGACUCAAUGAAGAAAGUUGAAGAGAUGAAACAGAAAUGCCAAGCUAAAUUU
Non-coding RNA from Microcebus murinus (gray mouse lemur), 2300 nucleotides. Lineage: Eukaryota; Metazoa; Chordata; Mammalia; Primates; Cheirogaleidae. The record is from RefSeq and is a predicted model, not a curated record.